AUGGCGACCGGCGCACGGGUGAGUAACACGUAUCCAACCUGCCGAUAACUCGGGGAUAGCCUUUCGAAAGAAAGAUUAAUACCCGAUGGUAUAAUCAGACCGCAUGGUCUUGUUAUUAAAGAAUUUCGGUUAUCGAUGGGGAUGCGUUCCAUUAGGCAGUUGGUGAGGUAACGGCUCACCAAACCUUCGAUGGAUAGGGGUCCUGAGAGGAAGGUCCCCCACAUUGGAACUGAGACACGGUCCAA
This 245-nucleotide ribosomal RNA is filed under the name uncultured bacterium. RNAcentral's name for it is "partial 16S ribosomal RNA". It matches the Rfam family "Bacterial small subunit ribosomal RNA", at positions 88 to 334 of the family's 1533-position model. The record is from RNAcentral.